RNAcentral lists this ribosomal RNA (426 nucleotides) under uncultured bacterium. RNAcentral's name for it is "bacterial SSU rRNA". It matches the Rfam family "Bacterial small subunit ribosomal RNA", at positions 355 to 796 of the family's 1533-position model. The record is from RNAcentral.
UAAGGAAUCUUCCACAAUGGGGGCAACCCUGAUGGAGCAACACCGCGUGCAGGAUGAAGGCCUUAGGGUUGUAAACUGCUUUUAUUAGCGAAGAAUAUGACGGUAACUAAUGAAUAAGGGUCGGCUAACUACGUGCCAGCAGCCGCGGUCAUACGUAGGACCCAAGCGUUAUCCGGAGUGACUGGGCGUAAAGAGUUGCGUAGGCGGUAGUUUAAGCAGAUAGUGAAAGCAUGUGGCUCAACCAUUAUGUCUAUUAUCUGAACUGAAUUACUCGAGAAUGGUAGAGGUAGCUGGAAUUUCUAGUGUAGGAGUGAAAUCCGUAGAUAUUAGAAGGAACACCAAUGGCGUAGGCAGGCUACUGGACCAUUUCUGACGCUGAGGCACGAAAGCGUGGGGAGCGAACCGGAUUAGAUACCCGUGUAGUCC